AUGCGCUGCCGUAGCCUUGUCUUCUGAAGAAUAUUACCGGCUUCGAACUUGCGUCACGAUCACACCAAAGCCCAGUUGCUUUUGAUCUUGCCACCAGAAUGACACUAAGAAGAUACUCUUCAGAUAUCAUAUAACCUAAUAUUUAAUUCUUAGCUCUAACAUAUGAAGAAAAUCAAAUCUUAGGACACUCAAGCAAUACUUACUGAAAAUCUCACCACCCUUGUAGCAAAUUUUGCCAC
This 239-nucleotide long non-coding RNA is filed under the name Elaeis guineensis (African oil palm). RNAcentral's name for it is "long non-coding RNA (EGUI_LNC074764)". The record is from RNAcentral. Lineage: Eukaryota; Viridiplantae; Streptophyta; Magnoliopsida; Arecales; Arecaceae.